CACGUGGGCAAUCUGCCCUGCACUCUGGGACAAGCCCUGGAAACGGGGUCUAAUACCGGAUAAUACUGUGCCCCUCAUGGGGGACGGUUGAAAGCUCCGGCGGUGCAGGAUGAGCCCGCGGCCUAUCAGCUUGUUGGUGGGGUAAUGGCCUACCAAGGCGACGACGGGUAGCCGGCCUGAGAGGGCGACCGGCCACACUGGGACUGAGACACGGCCCAGACUCCUACGGGAGGCAGCAGUGGGGAAUAUUGCACAAUGGGCGAAAGCCUGAUGCAGCGACGCCGCGUGAGGGAUGACGGCCUUCGGGUUGUAAACCUCUUUCAGCAGGGAAGAAGCGAAAGUGACGGUACCUGCAGAAGAAGCGCCGGCUAACUACGUGCCAGCAGCCGCGGUAAUACGUAGGGCGCAAGCGUUGUCCGGAAUUAUUGGGCGUAAAGAGCUCGUAGGCGGUCUGUCACGUCGGGUGUGAAAGCCCGGGGCUUAACCCCGGGUCUGCAUUCGAUACGGGCAGACUAGAGUGUGGUAGGGGAGAUCGGAAUUCCUGGUGUAGCGGUGAAAUGCGCAGAUAUCAGGAGGAACACCGGUGGCGAAGGCGGAUCUCUGGGCCAUUACUGACGCUGAGGAGCGAAAGCGUGGGGAGCGAACAGGAUUAGAUACCCUGGUAGUCCACGCCGUAAACGUUGGGAACUAGGUGUUGGCGACAUUCCACGUCGUCGGUGCCGCAGCUAACGCAUUAAGUUCCCCGCCUGGG
Molecule: ribosomal RNA, 751 nt
Filed under: Streptomyces sp.
Lineage: Bacteria; Bacillati; Actinomycetota; Actinomycetes; Kitasatosporales; Streptomycetaceae
Description: bacterial SSU rRNA
Rfam family: Bacterial small subunit ribosomal RNA
Source: RNAcentral